This 468-nucleotide ribosomal RNA is filed under the name uncultured bacterium. RNAcentral describes it as "partial 16S ribosomal RNA". It matches the Rfam family "Bacterial small subunit ribosomal RNA", at positions 28 to 507 of the family's 1533-position model. The record is from RNAcentral.
GACGAACGCUGGCGGCGUGCUUAACACAUGCAAGUCGAACGGAAAGGCCCUGCUUUUGUGGGGUGCUCGAGUGGCGAACGGGUGAGUUACACGUGAGUAACCUGCCCUUGACUUUGGGAUAACUUCAGGAAACUGGGGCUAAUACCGGAUAGGAGCUCCUGCUGCAUGGUGGGGGUUGGAAAGUUUCGGCGGUUGGGGAUGGACUCGCGGCUUAUCAGCUUGUUGGUGGGGUAGUGGCUUACCAAGGCUUUGACGGGUAGCCGGCCUGAGAGGGUGACCGGCCACAUUGGGACUGAGAUACGGCCCAGACUCCUACGGGAGGCAGCAGUGGGGAAUAUUGCACAAUGGGCGGAAGCCUGAUGCAGCAACGCCGCGUGCGGGAUGACGGCCUUCGGGUUGUAAACCGCUUUCGCCUGUGACGAAGCGUGAGUGACGGUAAUGGGUAAAGAAGCACAGGCUAACUACGUG